GCACAACGAAAUGCUUUCACAGCAAAUGCACACCUACUGCAUAUAUAAUGCAUAUCUGACACCCCAUCUCACUUCAGAAUGGCAGCACCUCGAUCAUGAAAUCUAGCAGCUCACCUCGGUUCCCCCUCGUAGAAAUCACCUCGUAUGCUUCGCCCAGAGAGUCAAAAGUAGUACCAAAAGCUGGUGUGAUCACAUUUUCAACUGGGUUCUCUCCACAACACCUGGCUGCCUUCUCGAACGGCACUGAUUUGAUUUGGGCACGGUGUUCUGCUUCCUGCGGCAGCACCAAUCCUAAGCCUGCAAGCACAAACAUACAUUGCAUAAAUUUUCUGAAUGCACAGAGCAAUCAGCCCGCAAACACGGGCACAAGUAGCAUAAAUUUUCAGAAUGCAGAGAGCAAUCAGCCUGCAAACACAGGCACAUAUAGCAUGAAUUUUCUGAAUACAGAGAGCAAUCAGCCUGCAAAAACAGGCACAUAUAGCAUGAAUUUUCUGAAUGCAGAGAUCAAUCAGCCUGCAAGCACAGUAUAGCAUGCUUGUUCUGAAUGCAGAGACCAAUCAGCACUUGCUCUAACUGUAGGAUUUCUUCACUCAUGACGCUUCCUAAAUUGCCCUUCACUAACCUCUUGUUACACCCCGACGCUUAGGGAUUCAGCUUCCCCGUUGAUAGCAUGCUUGUUCUGAAUGCAGAGACCAAGCAGCACUUGCUCUAACUGUAGGAUUUCUUCACUCAUGACGCUUCCUAAAUUGCCCUUCACUAACCUCUUGUUACACCCCGACGCUUAGGGAUUCAGCUUCCUCGUUGAUAGCUCCGAAGUCGGAGGGGAGCUCUCCCUUCUUCAGCCGCCGCCUCCUUCGCCGAGAAGAUUUGUGCUUCGUCGCUGUCCACCGUCCGAUGCUGCGCCACCUCGCCCUCCGCCCUGCUGCGCCACCUCCAAAACCGCCACCGUAGGGCCAUUCACAGCCACAGGGGGCGGCACCAAACUCUUACCUACUUCCUCAAGCAGAGCAGAU
This 1013-nucleotide long non-coding RNA is filed under the name Triticum aestivum (bread wheat). RNAcentral's name for it is "long non-coding RNA (TAES_LNC003025)". Lineage: Eukaryota; Viridiplantae; Streptophyta; Magnoliopsida; Poales; Poaceae. The record is from RNAcentral.